Molecule: ribosomal RNA, 322 nt
Filed under: uncultured eukaryote
Lineage: Eukaryota
Description: partial 18S ribosomal RNA
Rfam family: Eukaryotic small subunit ribosomal RNA
Source: RNAcentral
CCCUUAGAUGUUCUGGGCCGCACGCGUGCUACACUGAGUGGAUCAGCGGGUCAGGUUGCGCGAAAGUGUUUCCUAAUCUUGAAAUCCGCUCGUGAUGGGGAUUGACGGUUGCAAUUUUCCGUCAUGAACGAGGAAUACCUUGUAAGCGCGGGUCAUCAUCCCGCGCUGAAUACGUCCCUGCCCUUUGUACACACCGCCCGUCGCUUCUACCGAUUGAGUGGUCCGGUGAGGCUUUGGGAUCUGAGCGGAAAGAGCGUUUCGCUGUUUCUGCUCGGAAAACUCAGUCGAACCUUAUCAUUUAGAGGAAGGAGAAGUCGUAACA